RNAcentral lists this ribosomal RNA (322 nucleotides) under uncultured eukaryote. RNAcentral's name for it is "partial 18S ribosomal RNA". It matches the Rfam family "Eukaryotic small subunit ribosomal RNA", at positions 1470 to 1796 of the family's 1831-position model. The record is from RNAcentral.
CCCUUAGAUGUUCUGGGCCGCACGCGCGCUACACUGAGUGGAUCAGCGGGUCAGGUUGCGCGAAAGUGUUUCCUAAUCUUUAAAUCCGCUCGUGAUGGGGAUUGACGGUUGCAAUUUUCCGUCAUGAACGAGGAAUACCUUGUAAGCGCGGGUCAUCAUCCCGCGCUGAAUACGUCUCUGCCCUUUGUACACACCGCCCGUCGCUCCUACCGAUUGAGUGGUCCGGUGAGGCUUUGGGAUCUGAGCGGAAAGAGCGUUUCGCUGUUUCUGCCCGGAAAACUCAGUCGAACCUUAUCAUUUAGAGGAAGGAGAAGUCGUAACA